RNAcentral lists this long non-coding RNA (1690 nucleotides) under Triticum aestivum (bread wheat). RNAcentral's name for it is "long non-coding RNA (TAES_LNC011553)". Lineage: Eukaryota; Viridiplantae; Streptophyta; Magnoliopsida; Poales; Poaceae. The record is from RNAcentral.
CUCCGUUCGACAAAAGCCUCAGAUAAGUUCACACUAUUGUUUGGCUCUUUCAUAUAAUUCAUGAGUCCAAACUCCUUCGGUUUUUGUUCCAUGGAAAUUAAAGAAACCUGUAGAACUUUGGGGUAUAAAAUUCUAUAAGUUCAAAACCGGGAAACUAGUAAGUUCAGACAAAAUUAAAACUGUCAAAGAACAUGAGAGUUUUUGUCAAAGAACCAAGGCUUCCCCACGCAUGUACAAACUUUUUAAAUGUGUGGAUUUUGUCAAAGAAAAAACUGAAUGGGUGGCAAGAUGAAUGUAGUUGUUAUUAAGAGUUUCUUUCUGAACUUCUCCUCUUAAUAUACAUGAACUUGAUUAUCUUUUUAACCGGUUAAAUAUACAGGGUUGGCAAGAUGACGAUAGUUGUUAUAGCAAAAAAGUACAUUUUUCUUUAAAACAUUUCUGUUUGAACUUCUCCAAUUAAUAUACAUGAACUCAAUUAUCUUUUUAACAUGUACUCACAUGAGCUCGUUUGGAUUUUUGUGUAUACUUGUAACACAAUCAGUUCAGAUCUCGAGAGACCGUAAGUUAUUCGGCCUUGGCAUCACGAACGGGUUUAGUUCGAUCUCGCACAAUGGGCUAGGUCCCCGAUGGUGUGUCCGUCAGUUCUACUCACACGAGUGGACGUCAGAUCACACAAGUGGGAAGGUCCCCGAUGGUAAGAACUUGUUCUAUUCCUGCUGCUAUCGACCUGUUUGUUGAUAUGCUUAUAAGAAAUGAAAUAUCCUUUUUGAUAUUUCUUUAUUGCCAAAUAAAAAGCUGAUAUUUAUGGACAUGUGCAGUAUAAACAUUUUUUAUGGGGUAGUACACAUUUUUAAACUUUUAUAUAAUUGCAAAAAAGGAAUUCUCAUUCCUAGAAACCUACAAAAAAACAUCUACUUAUAGUGAUAGUUUUGGUUCUAGUCCUUAUGGCCCGGUUCAAGUAACUAUGUCGCCCCCGCGUUUUGGUUUCUUGUUAUCUCUCCUGAAUGCUUUUGAAGAGCUUCAAUUGUUUUUAGUUCAUCUUUUGAAUGCUUUUCAGUACAUCUACUUACCAACCGUAAGUCCAGUUUCCUUUGUGUUUCCAUGUUAUUUCUAUAGCACAAUAGGUGUGUGUGGUUAUGUUGUAUGAGCGCAUGUAACAAAGUCUAUUUUGUAAGUUCAGAGAAGCAACGAGGUAAAAGCAAAACACUAAAACCAUGCAAUUCUUGUAAAGAUAUCUGAAAGUUCAACAAUAAAAUUUAUAUAAGUUUAGUCUCAAGUGGAGAGAAGUUGCUGCAUCUCUCUCUGCACGUGGAUGUCGUGUGCUAUAGUUGCUUUCUCCCCUUGAUGUACAUGCUGCUACUCACCUUUUUAUCUUUCUAAUGCGUUGUGUUGCACUACUGCAGCUCGAUCCAGGAGGUGCUAGCUCACGCUGGCUGGAACUAGGAUGCAAAAGGGUUGAUGGACCCAUGCUGCACAAGCACUGGUGCUCUGCUUUCUUCUUACUUUGUGUUGUAAUUUGCAUUCUUCUUAUUUUCAGUUUGUGAGAUAUGAAAAUAAGUUAAAAAAAUGUUGUGCCUGGAGUUCAUAUUAUUUGCUACCCCGUGAUGUACGCCUAUAGUUUCUCCCUCCAAAUGUGUUGGUCCAUGUGGUUAGAUUUUCUGUGUUUCUCCCUCCAAAUGUAUGCAAGUAC